UAUGUUCCCUUCAUACGCACAAUAUUCCACAAUUCCAAUGGAUAAAAAAGUUAAUUUUAAGAUCGGCCAAUAUACCUAGACUUGGCAACGCGGUCUAACAAAAACUGUCAUAUACGUCAAAAGUUUGACGUUUUACUUAAUCAGCUGACGUUUGUUUAUAUUUUUAUUUAUAAAUAUACUGUUAAAUAAACCUAAUAUCUAUUAUUAUGCAAUGGGUAAGAAACUUAUGCCGAUUAUGUGGCGAAAUCGGAGAAGUCUGCUAUCAUUUAUUCGACCCGAAUUUGAGGCUCGACCUAAAAGUUAAAAGAUGCCUAAACUUAGAAAUUACCGAGGAUGACUAUAAACCGAAGGAAAUCUGCGGCUUGUGCUACAACAAAAUCAACGAUUUCUUGCACUUUAUUGACACAACCGUCACCACCAGCAUGAAAUUUGAAUCAAUGUACUACUCAAAUAACUAUUACAUGAAUGAUAAAUACCCUUAUACGGAUAAUAAUUACAAGCAGAGUGUAAUUGUCACUAAUCACCAACAGCCCAACAAGCCUUCAAUAGAAAAUCCAGAAGUUAUCCCUUAUAUCGGUUACGAACAUGACAUACAACCGGACAUGGUGAACUUAUUUGAUUGUGCUGAAAAACAGAUGGGGCAAAGCGAGUUUUUGCCCUACAGCAGCGACCCCACAAAUCUGGUUUCAGUCGAUGCAAUAAAGAAAUCAAUUUCAGGCCCGACCCAACCGAAACAAAAAAAAACCCACUCCUACAAAUGCCCCCACUGUGAUAAAACAUUCCUAAGAAGACUUAACCUCACCUCCCACAUAUCCAAGCAUACGAACAUUAAAAACUUCCAGUGCCCCAGCUGCCCCAAAGCGUUCGCCGUGAAAACCUUACUGACUCAACAUCGAAAGGUCCAUUCGGAGUUGCACCGAUGCCACUUUUGCCACAAAGGAUUUCAAUCGCCCAGUAAACUUUCCCGGCAUAUGUUAACCCACGAGUUGAACAAACAGUUCGUGUGCCCCCUGGAAGGUUGCCAUAAGGAGUUCUCGGAGAGGGGCAACCUGAAUCAACACAUGAAGAGCCACAACAACGAGAGAACUUUUAUGUGCCAUUUAUGCGAUAAACUAUUUAAAACCCAAAGACAUUUGAGGGCCCACGUGAUGAAUCACACCAGGGACAGUCAGUUCGUUUGCGUUUAUUGCAACAAGGGGUUUAAGUAUAAACAUAAUUUAAAAAGUCACCUUGUUAAACAUAGAAAAUAGAGAAUUAGUUUUGAGGUUUCUUAUUUAUUUGCCCUCGUAUUGGGUGCCAACCGGGUCGGGAUUGUUAUCGGUGCACCCUCGUAUGCAACGUCAAACUUUGACGGUUGACAUUGACAUGUUUAUAUUGACAUUUUUUCAGUUUAAAUGUUUAUAAAGCAUAUUUUUUUUGUAAAAUUUUACAAAUUCCAAUAACAUCAGGAUGCAACUGUAAUAAUAUUAAUAAAUAAGGAGUGCUGAGACGUUAUACCGUUUGAUGGAGGCUCAAGAAAACAAAGAUGAGGAAGACCCAAAACCCUUAACACCAUUAGACUCGGCCUUAAACGAGCUGGGCAUGCUAGCAACCGGAGCAAACUCCCGUAAAGAGUACGUAAGCAAUGUGUCUAUAGGGUUCAGGGUGAGACCUAGCACGCCCCACGUCAGGUAUAAACCGUAUCAGAUGCCUCAAAGGCAUAG
RNA transcript from Anthonomus grandis grandis, 1703 nucleotides. RefSeq lists it as uncharacterized. The transcript is spliced from 4 exons. NCBI's taxonomy places the organism in Eukaryota, Metazoa, Arthropoda, Insecta, Coleoptera, Curculionidae. The record is from RefSeq and is a predicted model, not a curated record.